AUGUCCUUGCAAGAAUGGUGUCAAAUGUAAGCCAUAUCCAGAAACUGGUGGGCUUGUAUGUUUGUGCUUGAAUAACUAUUAUGGGGAAUACUGUGAAAAGGAGCCUUCAGCAUUCACUGGAGCUGAUGCAAGUUCAAUAUGAGCAAGGCCCUGCAUUCCAGUGGCUGGGGGCGAGUUCAGACUGGGGCACCUGCUGGAAUGGUGACUUUCCAUGGAGGAAAUGUUGUGGCCAUCAGUAUGCCAGACUUUGUAUAUGACAGCUCUGUGGCACAGAAUGGGGAUGCAAUGGAACCAGAGUACAACAAAACAGAGAAUUUUGAAGACCACAACAAACCAACCAAUUUCUCCAACCCACAUUAUAAUAGGAUUAGAACCUGCUAAUCCCCCUAAAAAGGAUUAGAACCUGCUAAUCCCCCUAAUAGGAUUAGAACCUGCUAAUCCCUCUAAAAAAGGACAUGACCAGCCCCAC
This is a long non-coding RNA of Lingula anatina, 469 nucleotides long. The record is from RefSeq and is a predicted model, not a curated record. NCBI's taxonomy places the organism in Eukaryota, Metazoa, Brachiopoda, Lingulata, Lingulida, Lingulidae.